RNAcentral lists this long non-coding RNA (293 nucleotides) under Pongo abelii (Sumatran orangutan). RNAcentral's name for it is "lincRNA". Lineage: Eukaryota; Metazoa; Chordata; Mammalia; Primates; Hominidae. The record is from RNAcentral.
GCUUCACAGGAGGCCCCGUUUUGAGAGGUGCAUGAAGGUGUGGCCCACGUUUAACAACACUCAGGAGAGGGGAAAGCAUGUUCAGGACACACCGAAUUUCCAAGACGUACAGAUCUCUCCAAACAUCCCAAAAGGCGUAUGUUCCUGGUGGGGCCUGCUCUUGGAGACGGAUGGUGAGCAGCUGCCAGCAGCUACUGAGUGCUCAACUUCCCCUCUAGAGACAGGCUCUGCCCCUCAAGGCCACCUGGGUUUUUGGCUCUCUAAAUCCUGUCCGAGGGUGGCGAACUUGAGGC